UACAGAGGGUACCGGUACAGAGUUAAUGUGGAGGCUAUAUACAGAGGGUACCAGUACAGAGUCAAUGUGGAGGCUAUAUACAGAGGGUACCGGUACAGAGUCAAUGUGGAGGCUAUAUACAGAGGGUACCGGUACAGAGUCAAUGUGGAGGCUAUAUACAGGGGGUACCGGUACAGAGUCAAUGUGGAGGCUAUAUACAGAGGGUACCAGUACAGAGUCAAUGUGGAGGCUAUAUACAGAGGGUACCGGUACAGAGGGUACCGGUACAGAGUCAAUGUGGAGGCUAUAUACAGGGUGUUACGGUACAGAGUCAAUGUGGAGGCUAUAUACAGGGGGUACCGGUACAGAGUCAAUGUGG
Oncorhynchus tshawytscha (Chinook salmon) is the source of this 358-nucleotide long non-coding RNA. Lineage: Eukaryota; Metazoa; Chordata; Actinopteri; Salmoniformes; Salmonidae. The record is from Ensembl.